RNAcentral lists this small RNA (28 nucleotides) under Arabidopsis thaliana (thale cress). RNAcentral's name for it is "ATSL011660". The record is from RNAcentral. Lineage: Eukaryota; Viridiplantae; Streptophyta; Magnoliopsida; Brassicales; Brassicaceae.
UUGCAAGAGAAGGCGGGACUGUACCAGU